GUGAUGUGGGCUUUAGCCUGUCAUCCAUGCAAGGAUGAUUUUCCUGUAAAUUAGAGCAAAAGGAAAAAAGCCUUGUAAAUCAUCUUUCUCACUUAACUUGCCCAUUGUCCUCUCUCUGCAGGAAACCCACAGGUUGCAGAAGAAAAUGGCUGGUAGAAAUGCAGCAGGAAGAAUAAUGUGGUUUUGAAAUGAGGGCUCAGAUGAAAAUCCAGGGAAACCAACUUCUUAAAAAUAGAUGCCAGUAGGCUGCCUGCCCCACCAAGUCAUUGGACAUUUCUAGACACGCCUGAUGCCCAGCCGAGAAGACAAAUUAGGUUCAAAUCUGAAUCCCUGCUACAUUACUAACGCGCACCACGCACUACAGUGCUUUCUCCUGCAUCGACUCUGAGAGUGUUCUGGCCGCACCACAUGGCGUGUGGAACUUCCCUGACCAGGGAUCGAACCAACGCCCCCUGCAGUAGAAGCGAAGAGUCUUAACCACUGGACCACCAGGGAAGUCCAAAGUGGCUUUUUACAGUUCCCAAUUUCCAGUUGCCUCAUUCUUUGCUCCCUUGUCUUUUUAAACACCUUUCGUCAUA
Molecule: long non-coding RNA, 578 nt
Organism: Hippopotamus amphibius kiboko
Lineage: Eukaryota; Metazoa; Chordata; Mammalia; Artiodactyla; Hippopotamidae
Exons: 3
Source: RefSeq, a predicted model, not a curated record